Long non-coding RNA from Cynoglossus semilaevis (tongue sole), 392 nucleotides. RefSeq lists it as uncharacterized. NCBI's taxonomy places the organism in Eukaryota, Metazoa, Chordata, Actinopteri, Pleuronectiformes, Cynoglossidae. The record is from RefSeq and is a predicted model, not a curated record. The transcript has 2 exons.
CUUAUGUGUAGUGCUGGGCGGUAUACCACUUCACCUGUGGGUCAAUUAACAAUAUAUAAUAAGUAAGCAGGAGCCAUUAAUGCUGACCUGUGAAAAUAGGGCAACCGGUCUACACUACAGACUGUCUGCACAACAAACAAACACAUACACACACAAACACGUGUGUGUUUGCAUCAGUGAUGCUGACCGUAAAGAAAAAACAGUAACAAAUGUUCAUGCAAGAAAAGGUGUUUUAAAUUAAAUUAAAAUGAAGGUCUGACGACACAGUAGUAGCAGCAGCACUAAGCUCAGCAAAAUGAUCAUUACUUUAAUAGGUUUCUGGCCUUAAUUAAUAAAAUACAAAAUCAAUAUUGUUUUUUUACUUGUUUGUUUGUUUUCUUUGAAAAAAAAAA